This 73-nucleotide microRNA precursor is filed under the name Tursiops truncatus (common bottlenose dolphin). RNAcentral's name for it is "miRNA (ENSTTRG00000024610.1)". The record is from RNAcentral. Lineage: Eukaryota; Metazoa; Chordata; Mammalia; Artiodactyla; Delphinidae.
GGCUGGCCAAAAAGUUCGUUCGGGUUUUUAUGUUACAGAAACACCCGAACGAACUUUUUUGGCUAGCCUCAAU